This 137-nucleotide small nuclear RNA is filed under the name Chinchilla lanigera (long-tailed chinchilla). Its description in RNAcentral is "U4 spliceosomal RNA (ENSCLAG00000020773.1)". It matches the Rfam family "U4 spliceosomal RNA". Rfam says of the family: U4 small nuclear RNA (U4 snRNA) is a component of the major U2-dependent spliceosome. The structure of U4 snRNA from yeast and human has been reported. Lineage: Eukaryota; Metazoa; Chordata; Mammalia; Rodentia; Chinchillidae. The record is from RNAcentral.
AGCUUUGCACAGUGGAAGUAUCGUAGCCGAUGAGGUUUAUCUGAGGUGUGAUUAUUGCUAAUUGAAAACUUUUCCCAACAUAAAUUGUGCAGGAAACCAGAAGAAUAUUCACUGAACACUGUAAUGAGAAUAACCAG